This is a long non-coding RNA of Lycium barbarum (goji berry), 674 nucleotides long. RefSeq lists it as uncharacterized. NCBI's taxonomy places the organism in Eukaryota, Viridiplantae, Streptophyta, Magnoliopsida, Solanales, Solanaceae. The transcript has 3 exons. The record is from RefSeq and is a predicted model, not a curated record.
AAAUAGUAACUAAAGUACUUUUUAAAAUUACUGCACAUAGCUAUAUCAGCAACUUCUAGUUACUAUGCCAAAUACACACGUAAAACACUCCCCCCCAUCCCCAAAUCCCAUGUUUAACGGUUAUUCAAUUAAUUAGUCUGAUUCUCUCUCCAGCCACUUUAAUCCUUGCCGUUUUUUUCUCACAUAGCUUCCUUCACGUUUCACCACGUUCUAACCACUGUUGCGAAAUUUGGGGUAGUUGUAUUUGGAUAGGUUUUUACAUUCUAUUGGUGUAUUUUUGUUCAGAAUAAUUUCAUAUUUUCAAAGAUUGUGAAUCGUAUUCAACUUCCAAUCCUUUCCUUUUUCUUCUCCAAUACCUUCCUUCAAGAUUCUUCAGCUUCAAAUCGGCUUAUGCGAAAAUUGGGGAAAGUUAUAUUGGGGUUUUCGAGCAAUUAAACUCACCUGUUAAUGGCAGACGGAGCAACACCUAAUAGGGUUACUCGAGCCUCUGCCGAUAAAAUGGCUACUGAAAGGCGUUCCAAGAAUAUACAUGAUCCUCGCAGAAUUCCAAAUCCACCAAUUGCUAAAUCGUCAAACAAAAUAGAUGCGGCUACAGUGACGAAGAGGAAAAAAACUACUGAUGUUGUUCCGGCCAGCAAGGGGAAACAAGUCGUAGAGGCUGAAGCAGAAGAAGA